RNAcentral lists this antisense RNA (46 nucleotides) under Paenochrobactrum gallinarii. Its description in RNAcentral is "ctRNA". It matches the Rfam family "ctRNA". Rfam says of the family: This family represents a group of ctRNAs (or counter-transcribed RNAs) from p42d and related plasmids. ctRNAs are small, highly structured, antisense sequences which are involved in negative regulation. Members of this family are known to bind to the mRNA of repC causing translational repression. This model contains the predicted stem-loop structure followed by a U-rich tract which is proposed to act as a Rho-independent transcriptional terminator. The record is from Rfam by way of RNAcentral. Lineage: Bacteria; Pseudomonadati; Pseudomonadota; Alphaproteobacteria; Hyphomicrobiales; Brucellaceae.
AGAAGGCUUUCACGACGGAAACGUUUUGGGAGCUUUUUUCUUUUGC